RNAcentral lists this ribosomal RNA (406 nucleotides) under uncultured bacterium. Its description in RNAcentral is "partial 16S ribosomal RNA". It matches the Rfam family "Bacterial small subunit ribosomal RNA", at positions 28 to 526 of the family's 1533-position model. The record is from RNAcentral.
GAUGAACGCUAGCUACAGGCUUAACACAUGCAAGUCGAGGGACCGGCGCACGGGUGAGUAACACGUAUCCAACCUUCCCCUUACCCGGGGAUAGCCUUUCGACAGAAAGAUUAAUACCCGUUGUAUAGGAUGGGGAGGCGUUCCUUUAGGUUGUUGGUGAGGUAACGGCUUGCCAAGCCUUCGACGGAGAGGGGUUCUGGGAGGAAGGUCCCCCACAUUGGAACUGAGGCACAGUCCAAACUCCUACGGGAGGCAAGAGUGAGGAAUGUUGGUCAAUAGACGUUAGCCUGAACCAGCCGAGUAGCGUGAAGGAUGAAGGCUUAUGGGUCGUAAACUUCUUUUGUAUAAGAAUAUGUAUUAAAUGAGUAAGGAUCGGCUAACUCCGUGCCAGCAGCCGCUGUAAUUC